Non-coding RNA from Chlorocebus sabaeus (green monkey), 1708 nucleotides. The record is from RefSeq and is a predicted model, not a curated record. Lineage: Eukaryota; Metazoa; Chordata; Mammalia; Primates; Cercopithecidae.
GAAGAGAACACAUUCAAAGAGUUCCCCCAUACGUCUCAGGAACUCAUCCACAUAAGGCCUCUUGAGCACAUACACCUGAGGAAGAGCAGAGCAGCCUGUUGGAAGCCUCCCUGUGAUGAAGCUUUGCAGUACCAGGCUUCCAAUGGAUCAGUGGUCCCAACCUCAACCUGGUGCAGGAAGAAGUGCAUACACCUUGUCCCAGGAGCCAUCUCUGUUUCCCGCGGCGGACCAUCAGCUGCCUCCAGAAACAAGUAAUCAAGAAUAGGCCUCACAGAUGGAAACAGCCUAUCCUGGAUUACUUGAAUCCAGCCACAGCCUCUAUGGGAGCUUUCUGUCCUUGGCUCCAACAGGACAGUCUGUCCAGGUCACGAUCAGGUAAUGAAUUGCACCAGGGAGCAGUGACUUUUUCCCCUCAAUGGCCCCAUUCUAGACAGAUACCCUGCCGACUCUUGCUCUGCACCAGAUUUUGUGCUUGCUUCUGCCAGCCACCCCUAACACUUGCGUCCACCUUUACGAUCUUGCACAUUCUGGCAAGUCCUUUGGCUACCUGACCCCCCAUCGGUCUGCACUCUAUUGCUUCCAUGACUCUAGCCUACACAGGUGCUACCAGAAACCAUUUCCACAAAGGUCCUUUUUCUUUUCUUAUUUUUUAGAGAUGGGGUCUUGCUGUGUGAGGCCAGGCUGGUUGUAACUUGUGGGCUCAAGCGUUCCUCCUGCCUCAGCCUCCCAGAGUGCUGGGAUGACAGGUGUAAGCCACGGCGCCUGACUCCCAAAGCUCCUUUACCCACAUAACUCCCGAGCUCAACGAGAGUCAGCCUCCCGUGACUCUCCCUCCUAGAGUGGGCCUGAACUGGCCACCAACUCACCAGACCCCUCAAGAGCUCUGCAGGUUCCUCUGUUCUAGGCAGCCACAACUUAGCUUCUGUUAGCCUGCCAUUCCUUUGACCUCCAACAAGCCCCUUCCUCAUCCCAGCUAUUCAUCAAGUCUGGCAUCCUUUCACCCACUUUGGGCAGGUAGUGCUCCCUUAUUUUAACCUCAUCCUUUUAAAAAUUAUUCAUACCCUUCCUUGUUAGCCAGGAGUUCACAGUAUGUAUCUGUUUGAAAAUACGCCUUCACCUGUUCUACAAGGGUUUAGCACAUCCCUAUACCCUCAGCUAGACUGUAAAAGGGCUGCUGGACCAAGCCUGGUCCUGACCGGGGCCUGGCACAGGACCUGGCAGGUCUUCUGGGCAGGCAAGCUGAGUAAAUGGUCUUUCACUAGCAGUGUCACAUGAUCCUUAAGCCGGGACUGCCUGGGCUGCAGGCUGGAGCCUGGUCCGUUUAGAUUUGAGUGCUCUUUACAUUGACAGACAUACAUUGAGGACUUCCUCAGGCAGAAUCCAAUGGAGGGCCCCAGGGAAGGCAGUCAGAGAAGGCUUCACAGAGGAGGAGAUGUCUGGGCUAGGGAGGAAGAAAGUCACUAGCUAUUCACAGUGGGGGUGUGGGGGUGGAGCAUGCGCAAGAGGGCAUUCCAGGCAGAGAAAAUGGUUACUACUGGUUUCCUUGCCUGUUACAGGAAAAGAGAUACCUGGUUAAGGUAUCUUUACAGGUAUAGAUACCUUUCUUAAGGAACAGAGAAAUGUAAUAAAUUAUGUUAACAGUGCUGGCCAUGUGAGAGGAUGGUGGUUAACAAAUGAUAGCUAUUAUUAUUAAAUAAAAUGUAAACUA